UAGGGAAUCUUCGGCAAUGGGGGGAACCCUGACCGAGCAACGCCGCGUGAGUGAAGAAGGUUUUCGGAUCGUAAAGCUCUGUUGUUAAGGAAGAACGAGUGUGAGAAUGGAAAGUUCAUGCUGUGACGGUACUUAACCAGAAAGGGACGGCUAACUACGUGCCAGCAGCCGCGGUAAUACGUAGGUCCCGAGCGUUGUCCGGAUUUAUUGGGCGUAAAGCGAGCGCAGGCGGUUAGAUAAGUCUGAAGUUAAAGGCAGUGGCUCAACCAUUGUAGGCUUUGGAAACUGUUUAACUUGAGUGCAGAAGGGGAGAGUGGAAUUCCAUGUGUAGCGGUGAAAGGCGUAGAUAUAUGGAGGAACACCGGUGGCGAAAGCGGCUCUCUGGUCUGUAACUGACGCUGAGGCUCGAAAGCGUGGGGAGCGAACAGG
RNAcentral lists this ribosomal RNA (429 nucleotides) under Bacteroidota bacterium. Its description in RNAcentral is "Bacteroidetes bacterium partial 16S ribosomal RNA". It matches the Rfam family "Bacterial small subunit ribosomal RNA", at positions 355 to 776 of the family's 1533-position model. Lineage: Bacteria; Pseudomonadati; Bacteroidota. The record is from RNAcentral.